This 560-nucleotide ribosomal RNA is filed under the name uncultured bacterium. RNAcentral describes it as "bacterial SSU rRNA". It matches the Rfam family "Bacterial small subunit ribosomal RNA", at positions 338 to 916 of the family's 1533-position model. The record is from RNAcentral.
CCUACGGGAGGCAGCAGUGGGGAAUAUUGGACAAUGGGCGAAAGCCUGAUCCAGCAAUGCCGCGUGAGUGAUGAAGGCCUUCGGGUCGUAAAGCUCUUUUACCAGGGAUGAUAAUGACAGUACCUGGAGAAUAAGCUCCGGCUAACUCCGUGCCAGCAGCCGCGGUAAUACGGAGGGAGCUAGCGUUGUUCGGAAUUACUGGGCGUAAAGAGUACGUAGGCGGUUAUUCAAGUCAGAGGUGAAAGCCCGGGGCUCAACCCCGGAACUGCCUUUGAAACUAGAUAACUAGAGUCUUGGAGAGGUUAGUGGAAUUCCGAGUGUAGAGGUGAAAUUCGUAGAUAUUCGGAAGAACACCAGUGGCGAAGGCGACUAACUGGACAAGUACUGACGCUGAGGUACGAAAGCGUGGGGAGCAAACAGGAUUAGAUACCCUGGUAGUCCACGCCGUAAACGAUGAUAACUAGUUGUUCGGUCACUUGGUGACUGAGUGACGCAGCUAACGCAUUAAGUUAUCCGCCUGGGGAGUACGGUCGCAAGNUUAAAACCNAAAGAAUUGACGG